Molecule: long non-coding RNA, 431 nt
Organism: Gossypium arboreum
Lineage: Eukaryota; Viridiplantae; Streptophyta; Magnoliopsida; Malvales; Malvaceae
Exons: 3
Source: RefSeq, a predicted model, not a curated record
AAGAAAUGUGAUGAAGAUGAUUAUAUUCUCACCUACCAGGACAAAAAAGGAGAAUGGCUGAUUGCAGGCGAUAUUCCAUGGCACUGUUGGUUUCAAUUAGAUGAGGCUAACAUCUCCAUCACCGGUGUAUAGAGGUAUCUUCGCCAUGUUCCUCACAAGUUCAAGACAGGUUUCAAGGAAGGUACUGAAGUAACACCAAGAAAGAAGGUUGCAGCAGCUUCUGCUUAAAAGGCAAAUUGUAAUGGUAUAAGGUUUUGUUUUGGAUGAAGCCAUGUUUAUGAGGAAACAUUUAGUGAUGAAGAGUGAAAUUAUGUUCCAUUGGAUGCUUUAGUUGUUAUUUAGUUUCUAUUUGAAUGUAGCUGUCUUAUAUUUUGAACAAUUAUUGGAGCUAAUGUUUGACCCUUAAUUUCUUCAUUGUCUUUUUUUUUUAA